GACGAACCGUGCGAACGUUGUUCGGAAUCACUGGGCUUAAAGGGCGCGUAGGCGGGCCGAAAAGUCAGGGGUGAAAUCCUCCAGCUUAACUGGAGAACUGCCUUUGAUACUGGCGGUCUGGAGUAAGGUAGGGGCAUGCGGAACUGAUGGUGGAGCGGUGAAAUGUGUUGAUAUCAUCAGGAACUCCGGUGGCGAAAGCGGCGUGCUGGACCUUUACUGACGCUGAGGCGCGAAAGCCAGGGGAGCAAACGGG
RNAcentral lists this ribosomal RNA (253 nucleotides) under uncultured bacterium. RNAcentral describes it as "partial 16S ribosomal RNA". It matches the Rfam family "Bacterial small subunit ribosomal RNA", at positions 524 to 776 of the family's 1533-position model. RNAcentral also lists the same sequence under 1 other name. The record is from RNAcentral.